AACGCACCUUGCGCUCCUUGGUAUUCCGAGGAGCAUGCCUGUUUGAGUGUCAUUAAUAUAUCAACCUCUUCAAAUUUGUUUGUCGAGUGUUGGAUGUGGGGGGUAUUUUUUUUGCUGGUCUCUCUUUGAGGUCAGCUCCCCUAAAAUAUAUUAGCGGGACAAUUUGUUGACCGUUCAUUGGUGUGAUAACUAUCUACGCUAUUGACGUGAGGCAGGUUCAGCUUUUAACAGUCCAUUGACUUGGACAAAUCUUUCAUUAAUGUGACCUCAAAUCAGGUAGGACUACCCGCUGAACUUAA
RNAcentral lists this unclassified non-coding RNA (299 nucleotides) under uncultured Cortinarius. RNAcentral's name for it is "sequence contains ITS2". The stretch from base 1 to 52 matches the Rfam family "5.8S ribosomal RNA", at positions 103 to 154 of the family's 154-position model. The record is from RNAcentral. Lineage: Eukaryota; Fungi; Basidiomycota; Agaricomycetes; Agaricales; Cortinariaceae.